UUAGAGUUUGAUCCUGGCUCAGAGCGAACGCUGGCGGCAGGCUUAACACAUGCAAGUCGAGCGGGCCCUUCGGGGUCAGCGGCGGACGGGUGAGUAACGCGUGGGAACGUGCCUUCCGGUUCGGAAUAACCCUGGGAAACUAGGGCUAAUACCGGAUACGCCCUUAUGGGGAAAGGUUUACUGCCGGAAGAUCGGCCCGCGUCUGAUUAGCUAGUUGGUGGGGUAACGGCCUACCAAGGCGACGAUCAGUAGCUGGUCUGAGAGGAUGAUCAGCCACACUGGGACUGAGACACGGCCCAGACUCCUACGGGAGGCAGCAGUGGGGAAUAUUGGACAAUGGGCGCAAGCCUGAUCCAGCCAUGCCGCGUGAGUGAUGAAGGCCUUAGGGUUGUAAAGCUCUUUUAUCCGGGACGAUAAUGACGUACCGAGAUAGGAGAG
This 438-nucleotide ribosomal RNA is filed under the name Methylobacterium sp. Its description in RNAcentral is "bacterial SSU rRNA". It matches the Rfam family "Bacterial small subunit ribosomal RNA", at positions 1 to 490 of the family's 1533-position model. The record is from RNAcentral. Lineage: Bacteria; Pseudomonadati; Pseudomonadota; Alphaproteobacteria; Hyphomicrobiales; Methylobacteriaceae.